This is a long non-coding RNA of Helianthus annuus (common sunflower), 1746 nucleotides long. RefSeq lists it as uncharacterized. The record is from RefSeq and is a predicted model, not a curated record. Lineage: Eukaryota; Viridiplantae; Streptophyta; Magnoliopsida; Asterales; Asteraceae. The transcript has 7 exons.
UUAUUCAAUACAAUUUCAUUUCAGAUUAAAACCUUUCAACUUUCUUCAAUCGAAAUAACCCCCAAUCAAUUCUGAACACUAAAAUUAAUUGAAACCCUUUCAACUUUCUUCAAUUAAAACUUUCGUGAAAUGUUACCAUGGCGAUUAAAGGAGUAUUUCAAGGGGCAAUACCCUAUUGAAGAUGCUAAACCCACACUCUCUCACCACCACUGGUUUCAGAAUUGCCUCAUGCCGUCUUCAUUCACGGUGUUUAUUCACGAGGGAAGAUACAUUCCGAGCUUAUUUUCACAACUCGAAAGACCCUCUCUCUCAAUGUUUGAAGAUUGCCGGAGCUUCGCCGGAGAAACCCUCUUGCUCUCCAUCGUCGGUAUACCCUUCUUUUAGUUGUUUAUCAUAUGUUUCGUCUCUCCAUUUUAUAAACAUACAAAAGCUUGUUUGAAUUAAAGUGGCAAACAAAAAUGUAACAGUAAUAAGGCUGGUCAGGUCAGAUGUAGUCGGGUCAAGGUCCGUUUGGGUCAAAGUCAAGUGUAGUCGGGUCAUAGGCAUAUAAAUGGCGGUCCAGGUACAAUAAAGGAAGUAAGGAACAUGUUUAGAGUGAAGGGUGGCCGGUUGUUUGUUUCUUUACCUCGAGUUAAUGUUCGAGGCGGAUAUGAAUGAACGUUCGUGUACAGGUUAUUUUUAUUGGUAUUAAAGUGUUAACCUACUCUGGUUAUACGUGGUUGGUAUAAAGAGAGAGAGAAACGGGAGUGACAGAGAGGGAGAAGUAGGGAAGCGGUCGGUGGUUUCUGAAGGCAAUCGGAUCUUCUUCCCAAUCAAUGAAAAAAGAAGGUUGCGGAGGCGGCGUCUAGGAGUUCGGAUUUCUUUCCUCCGGCCAUCUGACUGACGUUCAGCUGUUGUAGUUCCAGUGAAGUUGAUAGCAAAGCAUGGUAAAAGUGAAAAAGGCAUUCAAUCUGAGACAACAAAUUGAGCUACUAAUGAUGUUUAUAUAUAUAUUUUAUCAAUAACUCUGUGUUGGGGGUGUAACUCAUCUGAUGCCUACCCUUUGUUUGUCUAAACGUAACUCUGUUUUCGCAAUGUUUUUAAAAUCAUUGUUAGCGAUAGGAGGGUGAUGGUGUUUACUGGAUGCAUAUUACUGUUGUUUAUACUUCAUAGGCAGUUAGAUUAUAUAUUACAAAAGGCACUUGUGCUGUAAUAUAGAGUCCUAAAAACUCUUUUAUGAACUUAUUCUAGGAAGUUCUCUUUUAUGAACAUUAUGUUUCACACUAUCAUAAUGUUCUUUUAUAUCACGAAAUAUUCAUGCUGCAGGGAUGUGUAAUGCACUUGUUGAUCAAGUGGAUCAUAGCAAGAGGAAGAACUUUUUGAUCAAGUUGGUGAUUGUUUGGGUACUCUACUUAAGACCUUUAAGGCUCCAUUUUUGCCUUUAUUUGAUGAAUUAUUACCGUACUUGAUGCCUAUGUGGGGCAAUGAUAGGACCGAUGAGGAUUAGUCUUUUUUGCAAAUUCACCGUGAUAGUAUUAAUGUUGCUCAGAUUGUUCCUGCAUGGCUAAACUGAUUGCCAAUAAAAGAUGACUUGAUUGAGGCUAAAGUUGUGCAUGAUCAGCUUUGCUCAAUGGUGGAAAGGUCUGAUGGAGAAUUGUUAGGGCUUAACCAUCAGUAUCUUCCAAAGAUAGUUGGAGUAUUUGCAGAUGUACAUAUAUCCACACUCAAAUAAUUUUUUAUUAAUUUUAUUUUUUCAUCUAGAAUUCU